RNAcentral lists this ribosomal RNA (213 nucleotides) under Triticum aestivum (bread wheat). RNAcentral's name for it is "partial small subunit ribosomal RNA". The record is from RNAcentral. Lineage: Eukaryota; Viridiplantae; Streptophyta; Magnoliopsida; Poales; Poaceae.
AUGGGUUGGAACCCACAAGUGUUGUGUUGGAACGUGAGGGGUUUGAACCACCCGGCCAACAGGAAUGCGGUGAGAGACUUUGUAGUGGGGGCGAAAGUUAACCUCGUGUGUCUACAAGAGACGAAACUAGAUGUAAUCGAUCCAUUCAUAGCAUUGCAAUACAUUGGACCAUCCUUUCAUGGUUUCGCUUACUUACCGGCUUCGGAAACUUGA